Molecule: long non-coding RNA, 379 nt
Organism: Corvus hawaiiensis (hawaiian crow)
Lineage: Eukaryota; Metazoa; Chordata; Aves; Passeriformes; Corvidae
Exons: 2
Source: RefSeq, a predicted model, not a curated record
GGACCGAGAUUUUUCCCUACCUUAUUGUAGCAACUAUUGCAUCUUUAGGAUUGAUACCAGCUUUCAUACACGAGGCAGGGCAAUGGGCAGCACGGCCUCUCCUCAUCCUCCUGCAGCUGAUUCACAGCCCUGAACGCGAGCAGAGAAUGAGGCCGGUACCACUCUGAGCUUGAGGAAGGUGAACUCAACACUGAAAACCUGGCGAGAGAAAAUGCCUCAGCCAACGGAGGGAAGCGAGGCCCCGGUCCCAGUUUCCCCGUGAUGCUGAAUUUCUCUUCCCGCCACUCUGCCCCAGGUGUCGAAGCCCCACACGGAGCCGAGGUAACUCGUGCUGAGGGCCCUGAUAUUUUCAGUGAGUAAAAUAAACCCGUCUCGCUUC